Molecule: long non-coding RNA, 1961 nt
Organism: Cervus elaphus (red deer)
Lineage: Eukaryota; Metazoa; Chordata; Mammalia; Artiodactyla; Cervidae
Exons: 4
Source: RefSeq, a predicted model, not a curated record
UCCAUCACCAACUCCCAGAGCUUACUCAAACUCGUGUCCAUCGUGUCGGCGAUGCCAUCCAACCAUCUCAUCCUCUGUCAUCCCCUUCUCCCCAGAACUGUACACAACGUCAUCUCCCCGCCUCUUCGCUGGACUCAGAGCUUCUCGCUUGCUGGCCACGGACCAGGAGAACUGGAUUCAGAUGCCGUGAAAAUUAACCUGGUUUUGCCGAGUGUCCCGGUCACCUGCCUCCAUGCACACCUGAGUUCAGGAGCCGCGUCCCUCCACUAGGGGGCGGGCAUCGUAGACGCCCGCUGCACCACCUGGGCUGUCUCGUGUGUUCCGGCCUCAGCCCUGGAGAAGGCAAGAGCUGGUGCCUGCCGGUCUUGAGCGCUCUGCCCGCUGUGUCGAACCAUACGCGAGCCGGGAAGGGAGCUUUCACUCAAGAGCCAGCUGCUGGCUUGAUCAAUGCAGAAGGCGAGCAGAUGAGCGCUGCCAACAACUUAUAGGCUAGGAAUAAACAGAAGAGGAAAAACUCAUCACUGAAGAGAACCUCUUGGGAACGUAAAAUGGGGCCACCUUUGGAAAACAGCCCAGCACUUCCUCACACUGUGAAACCUGGAGUGACCACAGGCCCCAGCUGCUGCAGCCGUGGGGUUCCUCUCUCUGGUCUGGCCCCUGGGCACUGGCUCGUUCCAUCUCUGCUCAGCAGUCAUUCUGUCCACAACACUUUAAUCAGCACUGAAUUAUCCCAUUGGACACAGAACACAGUUGUGGUUCCUUCUGGCUUCAGGACCUGUCGCUGUCCACUGGAAGGUCAUCCGUCCCCCAAGUCAAGGAGACCCUGGCCCAGGCCUCAGCCCAUCCUCCUGGGGGUCAGAGUGUGCCAGCGUCCUCAGCCCUGGGGUCUUUCCAUCGGCCUGUGGCUGCUGGUCCAGCCGCCAAUGCCAAGAGCUAACAACCACAGUGGACGCAAGAAGGUUCCUGCUUCAGUGACCUGACAGCAGCUCCUCUCCCGCGUUCCCCCACCCAUGGACGCCGGGGCCCUGCAGCACGACCACCCAUCGCAGACCACCAGCAAGUGGGCCGAGUGAAGGAUGUCAUUAUCACAGCGAGAGGCUAACUGCUGGGCACCCCAUGACGCCUGAGACCCGUCUCCACGGUGGGAACCCUGCCAGGCGUGUGGCACCCUGGGGUCCCAGGCUCGGGGGCAGGCAGGGAACAGGGUCCAGUUACCCCAGGGAAAGCAGCUGGGGAGGGGCCGCUGGCGUCAGGAAUCCCUGGGCCUCAGACACGACCGCAUGGCUGUGGGGCACUGACCAUUCACAUAACCUCUCUGAGCUUCAGGUGUCCCAACUGCAAACCGGGGUUUCUGCUGCUUGCUUUAAAGAGCUGUUGUGAGCGUUGAGCGAGCAAAUGCCUAGUUAGCAAAUCAAUGUAGGAACGAUGCUGAUCGCACCUGUGUGUGCUGCACGCCAGGCUCCGUGUUGGGCGAUCACACACCCUUGCGCACGCAGACGCACAUGCUCUGGAUGUUCAUUAAGCUCCUGCUCUGUGCAUGGGGUCCCCCUGCUGAUACAAAAGUGUCACCUGCCCUCAUGUAGGUGACAGUCAACUGCAAGAGACAGGAAACAGGCAAACAAAAUAAACAAGGAAAGAGAUGAGCUGUGUAUUUUCAGUAGUGGCAACCACUGCAGAGAAGAAUAAACAUAACAAAUCUGGGUAAGGAGAUGGAGGGCAAUCCACGUGAGGAGGCUCUGUUUUUAGAUUUAGGGGGUCAGGGAAGGCCUCCCGCCAGAAGUAGGUGCUGCCCAGGCCCAGACCUGAUCAGCAGGGAGAAAGCAGCCACCUUGGGCUCUGGAGGCCGGGCCUCCCAUGAGCACCAGCCCCUACUUACCAGCUCUGAUGCAGGUGCUGGGCUUGGAGACCUGCCUGGCCCCCUCUGGCCCUGGGGACAGGACAGCCGGGCCAGCACCUGCUGU